This 377-nucleotide ribosomal RNA is filed under the name uncultured bacterium. RNAcentral's name for it is "bacterial SSU rRNA". It matches the Rfam family "Bacterial small subunit ribosomal RNA", at positions 521 to 896 of the family's 1533-position model. The record is from RNAcentral.
UAAUACGUAGGGCGCAAGCGUUGUCCGGAAUUAUUGGGCGUAAAGAGCUCGUAGGUGGCUUGUCGCGUCGGAUGUGAAAGCCCGCAGCUUAACUGCGGGUCUGCAUUUGAUACGGGCAGGCUAGAGGUAGGUAGGGGAGAACGGAAUUCCUGGUGUAGCGGUGAAAUGCGCAGAUAUCAGGAGGAACACCGGUGGCGAAGGCGGUUCUCUGGGCCUUACCUGACGCUGAGGAGCGAAAGCGUGGGGAGCGAACAGGAUUAGAUACCCUGGUAGUCCACGCUGUAAACGUUGGGCGCUAGGUGUGGGGAUCUUCCACGAUCUCCGUGCCGGAGCUAACGCAUUAAGCGCCCCGCCUGGGGAGUACGGCCGCAAGGCUA